Long non-coding RNA from Nicrophorus vespilloides, 488 nucleotides. RefSeq lists it as uncharacterized. NCBI's taxonomy places the organism in Eukaryota, Metazoa, Arthropoda, Insecta, Coleoptera, Silphidae. The record is from RefSeq and is a predicted model, not a curated record. The transcript has 6 exons.
CGUAAUCAAAAGAGUCGUGUCCACUAUCUGUGUCUUCUGCAUCCUUAAAGGAUCUGAAGCUGGGGAAAAUGUGGUUCCCGAUUACUUCAUUCACGUCCAACCCGACUAUAGGGCUGAUUGCAUCGAGGAAACCGGUGUUUCUAUUGAUGUACUGGAAGGGACGAUAAGUCAUGGCUUUGUUACGCAGGAUCCAGCCCUCAGUUGCUUCUUCAAAUGUAUCUUCGAGAAGUACGAUCUUUUCGAAGAUGACGACAGGAUCAAUUAUGAGAAAACAGUCGACUGCUUUCCGGAUGAUGUUAAGCACAUUUAUGAGAAGACUAUACUUUCCUGCAAAGAUACCCAUGGUAAAGAUAGAUGUGACACGGCUUUCCUAGUGAACAAAUGUUAUUUCGAUAAAGACCCGGACACUUAUUUCCACUUUUAAUUGAAAUGACAAAUGGUCAAUUUAUUUGGAAGGUUCAAGGGAUUUUAACAAUAUUAAACGAAUG